RNAcentral lists this transfer RNA (75 nucleotides) under Verrucomicrobiales bacterium. RNAcentral describes it as "tRNA-Val". It matches the Rfam family "tRNA". From Rfam's summary of the family: Transfer RNA (tRNA) molecules are approximately 80 nucleotides in length. Their secondary structure includes four short double-helical elements and three loops (D, anti-codon, and T loops). Further hydrogen bonds mediate the characteristic L-shaped molecular structure. tRNAs have two regions of fundamental functional importance: the anti-codon, which is responsible for specific mRNA codon recognition, and the 3' end, to which the tRNAs corresponding amino acid is attached (by aminoacyl-tRNA synthetases). tRNAs cope with the degeneracy of the genetic code in two manners: having more than one tRNA (with a specific anti-codon) for a particular amino acid; and 'wobble' base-pairing, i.e. permitting non-standard base-pairing at the 3rd anti-codon position. The record is from RNAcentral. RNAcentral also lists the same sequence under 1 other name. Lineage: Bacteria; Pseudomonadati; Verrucomicrobiota; Verrucomicrobiia; Verrucomicrobiales.
GGUCGAUUAGCUCAGUGGUAGAGCGCUUGCUUCACACGCAAGAUGUCACCGGUUCAAAUCCAGUAUCGACCACCA